UAGUCAUAUGCUUGUCUUAAAGAUUAAGCCAUGCAUGUCUAAGUAUAAGCACUUGUACUGUGAAACUGCGAAUGGCUCAUUAUAUCAGUUAUAAUUUAUUUGAUGGUCAUUUACUUGGAUAACCGUGGUAAAUCUAGAGCUAAUACAUGCAUAAAAUCCUGACUGGGAACGGAAAGGAUGUAUUUAUUAGAUACAAAAACCAAUGCACUAGGCUUUCGGGUCUAGUGGAAAACAAUGGUGAUUCAUGAUAACUUUACGAAUCGUGUGGUCUUGCACCGACGAUAGUUCAUUCAAAUUUCUGCCCUAUCAACUUUCGAUGGUAGUAUAGAGGACUACCAUGGUGGUAACGGGUAACGGAGAAUCAGGGUUUGAUUCCGGAGAAGGAGCCUGAGAAACGGCUACUACUUCCAAGGAAGGCAGCAGGCGCGCAAAUUACCCAAUCCCGACACGGGGAGGUAGUGACAAAAAAUAACAAUACCGGUCUUAUAUAAGUCUGGUAAUUGGAAUGAGUACAAUCUAAACCCCUUAACGAGUAUCAAUU
Molecule: ribosomal RNA, 541 nt
Filed under: uncultured eukaryote
Lineage: Eukaryota
Description: bacterial SSU rRNA
Rfam family: Eukaryotic small subunit ribosomal RNA
Source: RNAcentral